AGUGAACGCUGGCGGUAGGCCUAACACAUGCAAGUCGAACGGCAGCACAGGAGAUCUUGCUCUCUGGGUGGCGAGUGGCGGACGGGUGAGGAAUACAUCGGAAUCUACUUUUUCGUGGGGGAUAACGUAGGGAAACUUACGCUAAUACCGCAUACGACCUACGGGUGAAAGCAGGGGACCUUCGGGCCUUGCGCGAUUGAAUGAGCCGAUGUCGGAUUAGCUAGUUGGCGGGGUAAAGGCCCACCAAGGCGACGAUCCGUAGCUGGUCUGAGAGGAUGAUCAGCCACACUGGAACCGAGACACGGUCCAGACUCCUACGGGAGGCAGCAGUGGGGAAUAUUGGACAAUGGGCGCAAGCCUGAUCCAGCCAUACCGCGUGGGUGAAGAAGGCCUUCGGGUUGUAAAGCCCUUUUGUUGGGAAAGAAAUCCAGCUGGCUAAUACCCGGUUGGGAUGACGGUACCCAAAGAAUAAGCACCGGCUAACUUCGUGCCAGCAGCCGCGGUAA
This 506-nucleotide ribosomal RNA is filed under the name uncultured bacterium. RNAcentral's name for it is "partial 16S ribosomal RNA". It matches the Rfam family "Bacterial small subunit ribosomal RNA", at positions 29 to 523 of the family's 1533-position model. The record is from RNAcentral.